ACAAGCGUGGAUGAUGUGGAUUAAUUCGAUGCAACGCGAAGAACCUUACCUACCCUUGACAUGUCCGGAACUUGCCAGAGAUGGCUUGGUGCCCGAAAGGGAAUCGGAACACAGGUGCUGCAUGGCUGUCGUCAGCUCGUGUCGUGAGAUGUUGGGUUAAGUCCCGCAACGAGCGCAACCCUUAUCAUUAGUUGCUACGCAAGGGCACUCUAAUGAGACUGCCGGUGACAAACCGGAGGAAGGUGGGGAUGACGUCAAGUCCUCAUGGCCCUUAUAGGUGGGGCUACACACGUCAUACAAUGGCCUGUACAGAGGGUAGCCAACCCGCGAGGGGGAGCCAAUCCCACAAAGCCGGUCGUAGUCCGGAUCGCAGUCUGCAACUCGACUGCGUGAAGUCGGAAUCGCUAGUAAUCGCGGAUCAGCAUGUCGCGGUGAAUACGUUCCCGGGUCUU
RNAcentral lists this ribosomal RNA (452 nucleotides) under uncultured Ottowia sp. Its description in RNAcentral is "bacterial SSU rRNA". It matches the Rfam family "Bacterial small subunit ribosomal RNA", at positions 925 to 1382 of the family's 1533-position model. The record is from RNAcentral. Lineage: Bacteria; Pseudomonadati; Pseudomonadota; Betaproteobacteria; Burkholderiales; Comamonadaceae.